Molecule: ribosomal RNA, 143 nt
Filed under: Sardina pilchardus (European sardine)
Lineage: Eukaryota; Metazoa; Chordata; Actinopteri; Clupeiformes; Clupeidae
Description: partial small subunit ribosomal RNA
Rfam family: Bacterial small subunit ribosomal RNA
Source: RNAcentral
AACUGGGAUUAGAUACCCCACUAUGCCCUGCCGUAAACUUAGAUGUUUUAGUACAAAAAAUAUCCGCCCGGGAACUACGAGCGCCAGCUUAAAACCCAAAGGACUUGGCGGUGCUUCAGACCCCCCUAGAGGAGCCUGUUCUA